GGGGGGGGGGGGGGGGGGGCGGGGCGGGGGGGGGGCGGGGGGGGGGGCCCUGCUUGUGUGGGGUGCUCGAGUGGCGAACGGGGGCGUAACAGGGGAGUAGCCGGCCCUUGACGUUGGGAGAACUUCAGGAAACUGGGGCGACUACCGGAUAUGCGCUCCUGCUGCCUGGUGGGGGUUGGAACGCUUCGGCGGUUGGGGAUGGACUCGCGGCUUAUCAGCUUGUUGGUGGGGUAGUGGCUGACCAAGGCUUUGACGGGUAGCCGGCCUGAGUGGGUGACCGGCCACAUUGGGACUGAGAUACGGCCCAGACUCCUACGGGAGGCAGCAGUGGGGGAUAUUGCACAAUGGGCGGAAGCCUGAUGCAGCAACGCCGCGUGCGGGAUGACGGCCUUCGGGUUGUAAACCGCUUUCGCCUGUGACGAAGCGUGAGUGACGGUAAUGGGUAAAGAAGCACCGGCUAACUACGUG
RNAcentral lists this ribosomal RNA (468 nucleotides) under uncultured bacterium. RNAcentral's name for it is "partial 16S ribosomal RNA". It matches the Rfam family "Bacterial small subunit ribosomal RNA", at positions 38 to 507 of the family's 1533-position model. The record is from RNAcentral.